UGCACGUUUGGUGUGGGAGGAUUCGACCCCUUCUGCGCCGGAGCUAACGCGUUAAACGUGCCGCCUGGGGAGUACGGUCGCAAGAUUAAAACUCAAAGAAAUUGACGGGGGCCCGCACAAGCGGUGGAGUAUGUGGCUUAAUUCGAUGCAACGCGAAGAACCUUACCUGGCCUUGACAUGCAUCUCUAAGCGCGUGAAAGCGCGUGACUCUCGAAAGAGAGAAUUUGCACAGGUGCUGCAUGGCUGUCGUCAGCUCGUGUCGUGAGAUGUUGGGUUAAGUCCCGCAACGAGCGCAACCCCUGUGAACUGUUGCCACCGAGGCGUGAGCCUCGAGCACUCUGUUCAGACUGCCCCGCUUUAACGGGGAGGAAGGUGGGGACGACGUCAAGUCAGUAUGGCCCUUACGGCCAGGGCUGCACACGUACUACAAUGCCCAGUACAGAAUGAUCCGAGACCGCAAGGUGGAGGAAAUCUCUCAAAACUGGGCCCAGUUCGGAUUGGAGUCUGCAACUCGACUCCAUGAAGCCGGAAUCGCUAGUAAUGGCGCAUCAGCUACGGCGCCGUGAAUACGUUCCCGGGCCUUGUACACACCGCCCGUCACAUCAUGGAAGUCGCUUGUAGCCGAAGCCGGCGCGCUAACCCGCAAGGGAAGCAGCCUUCUACGCUAUGAGCGGUAACUGGGAUGAAGUCGUAACAAGGUAGCCGUAGGGGAACCUGCGGCUGGAUCACCUCCUUUCUA
RNAcentral lists this ribosomal RNA (739 nucleotides) under Verrucomicrobiota bacterium. Its description in RNAcentral is "bacterial SSU rRNA". It matches the Rfam family "Bacterial small subunit ribosomal RNA", at positions 810 to 1533 of the family's 1533-position model. The record is from RNAcentral. Lineage: Bacteria; Pseudomonadati; Verrucomicrobiota.